Molecule: ribosomal RNA, 711 nt
Filed under: Pseudomonas sp.
Lineage: Bacteria; Pseudomonadati; Pseudomonadota; Gammaproteobacteria; Pseudomonadales; Pseudomonadaceae
Description: bacterial SSU rRNA
Rfam family: Bacterial small subunit ribosomal RNA
Source: RNAcentral
AGGCUCAGAUUGAACGCUGGCGGCAGGCCUAACACAUGCAAGUCGAGCGGAUGAAGGGAGCUUGCUCCUGGAUUCAGCGGCGGACGGGUGAGUAAUGCCUAGGAAUCUGCCUGGUAGUGGGGGAUAACGUCCGGAAACGGGCGCUAAUACCGCAUACGUCCUGAGGGAGAAAGUGGGGGAUCUUCGGACCUCACGCUAUCAGAUGAGCCUAGGUCGGAUUAGCUAGUUGGUGGGGUAAAGGCCUACCAAGGCGACGAUCCGUAACUGGUCUGAGAGGAUGAUCAGUCACACUGGAACUGAGACACGGUCCAGACUCCUACGGGAGGCAGCAGUGGGGAAUAUUGGACAAUGGGCGAAAGCCUGAUCCAGCCAUGCCGCGUGUGUGAAGAAGGUCUUCGGAUUGUAAAGCACUUUAAGUUGGGAGGAAGGGCAGUAAGUUAAUACCUUGCUGUUUUGACGUUACCAACAGAAUAAGCACCGGCUAACUUCGUGCCAGCAGCCGCGGUAAUACGAAGGGUGCAAGCGUUAAUCGGAAUUACUGGGCGUAAAGCGCGCGUAGGUGGUUCAGCAAGUUGGAUGUGAAAUCCCCGGGCUCAACCUGGGAACUGCAUCCAAAACUACUGAGCUAGAGUACGGUAGAGGGUGGUGGAAUUUCCUGUGUAGCGGUGAAAUGCGUAGAUAUAGGAAGGAACACCAGUGGCGAAGGCGACC